RNAcentral lists this ribosomal RNA (301 nucleotides) under uncultured bacterium. RNAcentral describes it as "partial 16S ribosomal RNA". It matches the Rfam family "Bacterial small subunit ribosomal RNA", at positions 509 to 807 of the family's 1533-position model. The record is from RNAcentral.
CAGUAGCCACGGGAAUACGGAGGGUGCAAGCGUUAAUCGGAAUUACUGGGCGUAAAGCGCACGCAGGCGGUCUGUCAAGUCAGAUGUGAAAUCCCCGGGCUUAACCUGGGAACUGCAUUUGAAACUGGCAGGCUAGAGUCUUGUAGAGGGGGGUAGAAUUCCAGGUGUAGCGGUGAAAUGCGUAGAGAUCUGGAGGAAUACCGGUGGCGAAGGCGGCCCCCUGGACAAAGACUGACGCUCAGGUGCGAAAGCGUGGGGAGCAAACAGGAUUAGAUACCCGGGUAGUCCCUGUCUCUUAUAC